RNAcentral lists this ribosomal RNA (422 nucleotides) under uncultured Anaplasma sp. RNAcentral describes it as "bacterial SSU rRNA". It matches the Rfam family "Bacterial small subunit ribosomal RNA", at positions 151 to 607 of the family's 1533-position model. Lineage: Bacteria; Pseudomonadati; Pseudomonadota; Alphaproteobacteria; Rickettsiales; Anaplasmataceae. The record is from RNAcentral.
UAGAAAUGGUGGGUAAUACUGUAUAAUCCCUGCGGGGGAAAGAUUUAUCGCUAUUAGAUGAGCCUAUGUUAGAUUAGCUAGUUGGUAGGGUAAAGGCCUACCAAGGCAGUGAUCUAUAGCUGGUCUGAGAGGAUGAUCAGCCACACUGGAACUGAGAUACGGUCCAGACUCCUACGGGAGGCAGCAGUGGGGAAUAUUGGACAAUGGGCGCAAGCCUGAUCCAGCUAUGCCGCGUGAGUGAGGAAGGCCUUAGGGUUGUAAAACUCUUUCAGUGGGGAAGAUAAUGACGGUACCCACAGAAGAAGUCCCGGCAAACUCCGUGCCAGCAGCCGCGGUAAUACGGAGGGGGCAAGCGUUGUUCGGAAUUAUUGGGCGUAAAGGGCAUGUAGGCGGUUCGGUAAGUUAAAGGUGAAAUGCCAGGG